This 468-nucleotide ribosomal RNA is filed under the name uncultured bacterium. RNAcentral describes it as "partial 16S ribosomal RNA". It matches the Rfam family "Bacterial small subunit ribosomal RNA", at positions 28 to 507 of the family's 1533-position model. The record is from RNAcentral.
GACGAACGCUGGCGGCGUGCUUAACACAUGCAAGUCGAACGGAAAGGCCCUGCUUUUGUGGGGUGCUCGAGUGGCGAACGGGUGAGUAACACGUGAGUAACCUGCCCUUGACUUUGGGAUAACUUCAGGAAACUGGGGCUAAUACCGGAUAGGAGCUCCUGCUGCAUGGUGGGGGUUGGAAAGUUUCGGCGGUUGGGGAUGGACUCGCGGCUUAUCAGCUUGUUGGUGGGGUAGUGGCUUACCAAGGCUUUGACGGGUAGCCGGCCUGAGUGGGUGACCGGCUACAUUGGGACUGAGAUACGGCCCAGACUCCUACGGGAGGCAGCAGUGGGGAAUAUUGCACAAUGGGCGGAAGCCUGAUGCAGCAACGCCGCGUGCGGGAUGACGGCCUUCGGGUUGUAAACCGCUUUCGCCUGUGACGAAGCGUGAGUGACGGUAAUGGGUAAAGAAGCACCGGCUAACUACGUG